UACACAUGCAGUCGAACGAUGAUCCCAGCUUGCUGGGGGAUUAGUGGCGAACGGGUGAGUAACACGUGAGUAACCUGCCCUUAACUCUGGGAUAAGCCUGGGAAACUGGGUCUAAUACCGGAUAUGACUCCUCAUCGCAUGGUGGGGGGUGGAAAGCUUUAUUGUGGUUUUGGAUGGACUCGCGGCCUAUCAGCUUGUUGGUGAGGUAAUGGCUCACCAAGGCGACGACGGGUAGCCGGCCUGAGAGGGUGACCGGCCACACUGGGACUGAGACACGGCCCAGACUCCUACGGGAGGCAGCAGUGGGGAAUAUUGCACAAUGGGCGAAAGCCUGAUGCAGCGACGCCGCGUGAGGGAUGACGGCCUUCGGGUUGUAAACCUCUUUCAGUAGGGAAGAAGCGAAAGUGACGGUACCUGCAGAAGAAGCGCCGGCUAACUACGUGCCAGCAGCCGCGGUAAUACGUAGGGCGCAAGCGUUAUCCGGAAUUAUUGGGCGUAAAGAGCUCGUAGGCGGUUUGUCGCGUCUGCCGUGAAAGUCCGGGGCUCAACUCCGGAUCUGCGGUGGGUACGGGCAGACUAGAGUGAUGUAGGGGAGACUGGAAUUCCUGGUGUAGCGGUGAAAUGCGCAGAUAUCAGGAGGAACACCGAUGGCGAAGGCAGGUCUCUGGGCAUUAACUGACGCU
RNAcentral lists this ribosomal RNA (683 nucleotides) under bacterium 97_xplvp333. Its description in RNAcentral is "bacterial SSU rRNA". It matches the Rfam family "Bacterial small subunit ribosomal RNA", at positions 50 to 747 of the family's 1533-position model. RNAcentral also lists the same sequence under 1 other name. The record is from RNAcentral.